This 477-nucleotide ribosomal RNA is filed under the name uncultured bacterium. RNAcentral's name for it is "partial 16S ribosomal RNA". It matches the Rfam family "Bacterial small subunit ribosomal RNA", at positions 28 to 507 of the family's 1533-position model. The record is from RNAcentral.
GAUGAACGCUGGCGGCGUGCCUAACACAUGCAAGUCGAACGAAGCACCUUACCUGAUUCUUCGGAUGAAAGUUUGGUGACUGAGUGGCGGACGGGUGAGUAACGCGUGGGUAACCUGCACUGUACAGGGGGAUAACAGCUGGCAACGGCUGCUAAUACCGCAUAAGCGCACGAGGAGACAUCUCCUUGUGUGAAAAACUCCGGUGGGAUAGGAUGGGCCCGCGUCUGAUUAGCUGGUUGGCAGGGUAACGGCCUACCAAGGCAACGAUCAGUAGCCGGGCAGAGAGGAUGGGCGGCGACAUUGGAGGGAGGACACGGUGCAGAAUCCUACGGGAGGCGGCAGUGGGGAAUAUUGCACAAUGGGGGGAACGCUGAUGCAGCAACGCCGCGUGAGUGAAGAAGUAUUUCGGUAUGUAAAGCUAUAUCAGCAGGGAAGAUAAUGACGGUACCUGACUAAGAAGCUCCGGCUAAAUACGUG